AUGGCUCAGCGCAGCCUGUCUCAGCCACCAUCGAUGGCCGUGUCUGUGGGACAGAGCACUAUACUCAACUGUACUUUGACUGGAGAAAAUUUCAGUAACUACAGAGUUCACUGGUACCAACAAAGUCCUGGAAAUACCCCACGAUUCCUUGUGAAUUUCUACGAUGAGUCAUCUCAGAAGGAUAGAGGUUCUGGGGUCCCAGAUCGUUUUUCUGCAUCCAAAGACAAUUCUAAGAAUACUGGUUAUUUAUCCAUCACUGGUGUCCAGGCAGAAGACAGUUCUGAUUAUUACUGUGCAAUAUGGGAUAAUCGUGACAAAGUAAACGCAUAUGCACAGUGA
This is a non-coding RNA of Protopterus annectens (West African lungfish), 339 nucleotides long. The record is from the annotation of a RefSeq genome assembly. NCBI's taxonomy places the organism in Eukaryota, Metazoa, Chordata, Ceratodontiformes, Protopteridae.